UACGUAGGGUGCAAGCGUUGUCCGGAAUUAUUGGGCGUAAAGAGCUCGUAGGCGGUUUGUUGCGUCGGCUGUGAAAUCCCGAGGCUCAACCUCGGGUCUGCAGUCGAUACGAGCAAACUAGAGUGUUGCAGGGGAGACUGGAAUUCCUGGUGUAGCGGUGAAAUGCGUAGAUAUCUGGAGGAACACCGGUGGCGAAGGCGGCAUCCUGGACCGACACUGACGCUGAGGCGCGAAAGCUAGGGUAGCAAACGGG
This 253-nucleotide ribosomal RNA is filed under the name uncultured bacterium. RNAcentral's name for it is "partial 16S ribosomal RNA". It matches the Rfam family "Bacterial small subunit ribosomal RNA", at positions 524 to 776 of the family's 1533-position model. The record is from RNAcentral.